RNAcentral lists this ribosomal RNA (1220 nucleotides) under Psallops sp. UNSW ENT 00025518. RNAcentral describes it as "SSU rRNA". It matches the Rfam family "Eukaryotic small subunit ribosomal RNA", at positions 554 to 1726 of the family's 1831-position model. Lineage: Eukaryota; Metazoa; Arthropoda; Insecta; Hemiptera; Miridae. The record is from RNAcentral.
GGCAAGUCUGGUGCCCAGCAGCCGCGGUAAUUCCAGCUCCAAUAGCGUAUAUUAAAGUUGUUGCGGUUAAAAAGCUCGUAGUUGGUUCUGCGUGCUACGCUGUCGGUUCGCCGCCUGCCGGUGUAACUGGCAUGUCGUGGCAUGUCCUGUCGGUGGCGUGCGGGAGCCGGAGGCACCCGGUUCACCGGGACCGUCUUCGGUCAACCCCGCUCGCCUACUCUAUCCUACCUAGGUGCUCUUCACCGAGUGUCGAGGUAGGCCGACACGUUUACUUUGAACAAAUUAGAGUGCUCAAAGCAGGCUGAAAUUUCUGCCUGAAUAGUGGUGCAUGGAAUAAUGAAACAGGACCUUGGUUCUAUUUUGUUGGUUCUUAAGAACACAAGGUAAUGAUCAAUACGGACAGGCGGGGGCAUUCGUAUUGCGACGUUAGAGGUGAAAUUCUUGGAUCGUCGCAAGACGCACAAGAGCGAAAGCAUUUGCCAAGUAUGUCUUGAUUGAUCAAGAACGAAAGUUAGAGGUUCGAAGGCGAUCAGAUACCGCCCUAGUUCUAACCAUAAACGAUGCCAGCCAGCGAUCCGCCGACGUUCCUCCGAUGACUCGGCGGGGAGCUUCUUCCCGGGAAACCAAAGCUUUUGGGUUCCGGGGGAAGUAUGGUUGCAAAGCUGAAACUUAAAGGAAUUGACGGAAGGGCACCACCAGAAAUUUGACUCAACACGGGAAACCUCACCAGGCCAGGACAUUGGAAGGAUUGACAGAUUGAUAGCUCUUUCUUGAUUCAGUGGGUAGUGGUGCAUGGCCGUUCUUAGUUGGUGGAUCGAUUUGUCUGGUUAAUUCCGAUAACGAACGAGACUCUAGCCUAUUAACUAGGCGUUUUCCGGUGCCCUCGUCACCGGCGACACUCAUUCUUCUUAAGGGGACAGGCGGCUUAUAGCCGCACGAGAUUGAGCAAUAACAGGUCUGUGAUGCCCUUAGAUGUCCUGGGCCGCACGCGCGCUACACUGAAGGAAUCAGCGUGUGCCUCCCUGGCCGAAAGGUCCGGGUAAUCCGCUGAAACUCCUGCGUGCUAGGAAUUGGGGCUUGCAAUUGUUCCCCAUGAACGAGGAAUUCCCAGUAAGCGCGAGUCAUAAGCUUGCGCUGAUUACGUCCCUGCCCUUUGUACACACCGCCCGUCGCUACUACCGAUUGAAUGAUUUAGUGAGGUCUUCGGACUGGCGGUAAUC